CACUUACCCACCAACGAUCUGCUGCCGCAGCCGCUCCAGGUCCUCCGCUCCUCCGGUCCCUGCCACCACUGCUCCUUCAGAGAUCCAGAUCAAGGACGAAUACAGGAAGCUGAAAGCAGAACAGCUCUAAAGUUCUCUGUGGCUGUCAGUGCAGUGAAACAUCUAAAUUGAUCUCAUUUUAGUGAAUAUAGUCUGGGCCAGACAAAUUCUGUUAAAAAAGAUCAGAAAAGAAAAGAAAUAACCAUCUUUGAUAUGAAUGUGAACAGCUACCCUGGAGCCGCAAACAACAUCUUCAUCCC
This is a long non-coding RNA of Hyla sarda, 299 nucleotides long. RefSeq lists it as uncharacterized. NCBI's taxonomy places the organism in Eukaryota, Metazoa, Chordata, Amphibia, Anura, Hylidae. The record is from RefSeq and is a predicted model, not a curated record. The transcript is spliced from 4 exons.